UGACACAGAGUGCCACACCUAAUAGAAGAUGAGGCAGCUUCUGGCUGGCCAGGAAACAAAUUGUGACUUCAGUCAAGGGGUGGAGGAAGGAAGGGUCCUUCUCUAGCCCAACACAACAGCCCCUGCCCCCUCCAUGGAAUGUGGAGCUAGCUAGGCUUGUCCCAGAGGCCUCUGGAUGCUUUGCCUUCCCUGUUGGGUGUCCCUUUCCUCUGAAAUCAACCUCUUCAGCAUCAGAAGGUCCUAAAAGGCUUUGGGGGUGCAGCGGCUACGUCAACCCGAGUGGCUGUGCUUACGGCAGCAAAAGCAGGACUGGGCUUGCUACGAGGAGGAAAAUGUCAGCAUCAGAGAUGGCGAUCCCUAGACAAGAUCUGGCUUGGAUCCCACUUGGCUGGUAGACAAGCAAUGGCAAUAGAGGCGAAAUGAAAAAUGGAUAAUUAGCAGCCAAGCAAACAGCUGCCAGUGCUAUAGUAUAGCUGAUGUCUAACUCUACAAACUUCCUAUGAUUGUUUUUCUGGUUCUUGACCUGAGAAGAUUCGUAAUUUGGGCUUGUAAUAUUUCUCUGGCAUAGCAGAUCUGACUUUAGCCUUACCUUCCAAGUUCCUAAUUCUCUCCCUCCCUCUCCACUCCCCUCCUUGAGAAGGCAAGAAAUUUGAUAUAGAUUAUACAUGUGUGGUCAUGCAGAACAUUUCCAUAUUAGUCAUCGCAAAAGAAAAGGCAAACCAUAAAACCCCAAGGAAAAUAAAGAAAAUAAAAAAAUAAGCUUCAAUCUGUAUUCAGACGCCAUCAGUUCUUUCUUUGGAAGUGGAGAGCAUUUUUUGCCAUAAGCUUUGGAAUUGUCUUAGAUUGUUGUAUUGCUGAGAAUAGCUAAGUCAUUCACAGCUGAUCAUUGUAAAAUAUUGCUGUCACUGUUUAUGAUAUUCCCCUGGUUCUAUUCAUUCCACUUUGCCUCAGUUCAUGUAAUCUUCCCAGGCUUUUCUGAAAGCACCCUGCUCAUUAUUUCUUACAGCACAAUAGUAUUCCAUCCUAAUCAUAUUCUACAACUUGUUCAUCUCUUCCCCAAGUGAUGGACAUCCUCUCAUAUUCCAAUUCUUUGCUAACAAAAAAGAGCUGCUAUAAAUAUUUUUGUACAUGUAGUCCUUUUCCUUUUUCUUUGAUCUCUUUGAAAUACACAUGUAAUAGUGGUAUUGCUGGGUCACAGGGUAUAUACACAGUCUUAUAGCUCUUCAAGUAUAGUUCCAAAUUGUUCUCCAGGUGGCUGAUAUGACAGUAAGGGAAAUUAAUAAAUGUUGGAGGGGAUGUGGCAAAAUUGGGACACUAAUGCAUUGCUGGUGGAGUUGUUAAUUGAUCCAACCUUUCUAGAAGGCGAUUUGGAAUUAUGUCCAAUGGUGGCCAAAAAUUGGAAAAUGAGAGGGCGUCCCUCGAUUGGGGAAUUGCUGAAAAAAUUGUGGAAUGUGAUGGUGAUGGAAUAUUAUUGUGCUAUAAGGAAUGAUGAACUGGAUUAUUUCUUUAAGAACUGGAAAGUCCUCCAUGAACUGAUGUGGAGUGAAAUGAGCAAAACCAGGAAAACAUUGUACACAGAGACUGAAACAUUGUGGGACAAUGAAAUGAAAUAGACUUUGCUACUAAUGAUCCAGGAUAAUUCUGAAGGACUUAUGAGAAAGAACGCUAUCCACACCAAGAGAAAAAACUGCAAGAGUAGAAAUACAGAAGAAAACAUAUCAUUUAUCACUUUUUUAUGUGGAUAUAUGAUUUGAGUUUUGGUUUUAAAAGAUUCUUAUAAAAAUGAAUAAUAUGGAAAUGGGAUUUAAGUGAUAAAAUAUGUAUAACCCAGUGAAAUUGCUUGUCAACUCUGGGAGGGGGGAGGGAAGAGGGGAGAGAGAGAACAUGAGUCAUGUAACCAUGGGAAAAAAUUUUUUUUAAUUGCUCUCCAGAAUGGUUGGAUAUGUUCAUAAUACAUUGGUGUCCCUAUAUCUACACAUCCCCUUUGAUGUUUGUAAUUUCCCUUUUCUGUCAUAUUAACCAAUCUGAUAGCUAUGAGGUGGUAAUUCAGAGUUGUUUUAAUUUAAUCAAGAGGGAUUUAGAACAUUUUUUCAUAUGACUAUGGGUAACUUUGCUUUCUUCUCUUGAAAACUGCCUGUUCAUAUUCUUUGACUUUUUACCAAUUGGGGAAUGACUUGUAUCCUUAUAAAUUUGACCCAGUUCUCUCUAUAUAUGAAAAAAUGAAGCUUUUAUCAGAAAACUUUCUGUAAAUUCUCCCCCCCUCUUCCCAGUUUCCUGCUUUCUUUCUAAUCUUGACAGCAUUGAUGUAAUGUUAUGUAAUAAAAAUUAUCCAUUUUACUUCCUCUAAUGCUCUCUAUUUCUUGUUUGGUGAUAAAUUCUUCCCUUAUCUAUAGAUCUUACAAACAAUAUUUAUUCCAUGCUUCCCUGAUUUGCUUAUGAUAGAACCCUUUAUAUUUAAAUCAUGUACCCAUUUUGACCUUUUCUCAGUAUAUGGUGUGAAAUGUUGAUUUGUACCUUGUUUCUGCCAAACUGCUUUCAAGUUUUCCCAGCAAUUUUUGUCAAAUAGUGAGUUCUUGUGCUGAAAUCUUGGAUCUUUGAGUUUAUCAAACACUAGAUUAAAAUGGUUAUCUACUACUGUGUAUUGUGUACCCAAUCUAUUUCUUAGCCAAUACCAGAUUUUUUUUUUAUUUCCACUUUGUAAUAGAGUUUGAGCUCUGGUAUAACUAAGCCACCUUCCUUUACAUUUUCCCCACAUUGACUCCCUUGAUAUUCUUGAUUUUUUGUUCUUCUAGAUAAAUUUUAUUACAAUUUUACUAGCUCUAUAGAAUAGUUUUUUGGAAAUUUGAUUGGUAUGGCACAGAAUAGAAUUGUCAUUUUUAUUAUAUUGACUUGACCAACCAUGAGCAAUUAGUAUCUCUCUAGUGUAGAUCAGACUUUAUUUGGAUGAAAAGUGUUUUGUAAUUGUGUCCAUAUAGUGCCUGGAUUUUUCUUGUCAGGUAGACUCCUGAGUAUUUUAUAUUGUCUUUAGUUAUUAUAAAUGGAAUUUCUUUUUCUAUCUCUUCUUGUUGGACUUUGUUGGCAAUAUUUAGAAAUGCUAAUGAUUUAUGUGAAGUUUAUUUUGUACCCUGCAACUUUGCUGAAGUUGUUGAUUAUUUAUACUAAUCUUUUAGUUGAUUCUUUAGGAUUCUCUAAAUAUACCAUCAUAUUGUCUACUGAGGGAUAGUUUUAUUUCCUUAUUGUCUAUUCUAAUUCCUUCAAUGUCUUUUUCUUGUCUAAUUGCUAUAGCUAGCAUUUCUAGAACAAUACUGAAUAAUAGUAGUAUUGAUAGGCACCCUUGCUUCACCCCUGAUCUUAUUGGAAAGGCCUCUAGUUUAUUGCCAUUACAGAUAAUGCUUGCUGAUAGUUUUGGGUAAUUACUAUCUAUUGUUAAAGGAAAGUUUCAUUUAUUCUUAUGCUUUCUAGUGUUUUUUAAAAAAGGGAUGAGUGUCAUAUUUUGUAAAAACCUUUUUCUGAAUAACCAACCAUAUGAUUUCUGUAGCUUUUGUUAUUGAGAUGGACAGUUAUGCUGAUAGUUUUCCUAAUAUUGAACUAGCCCUACAUUCCUGGUAUAAAUUUCACCUUGCCAUAGUGUGUAAUCUUUGUGUUAUAUUGUUGUAAUCUCCUUGCUAGCAUUUUAUUUAAAAAUUUUGCAUUAAUAUUCAUUAGGGAAAUUGGUCUUGAGUUUUUUUUUCUUUUUUUUCUCUUCCUUGUUUAGAUAUUAGCACCAUAUUUUAUUCAAUAAAAGGAAUUUGGUAGGAUUCUUUCUUUGCCUAUUUUUUCAAAUAGUUUACAUACUAUUAGAAUUAAUCAUCCUUUAAAUAUUUGAUAGAGUUCACUUGUGAAUCCAUCUGGUUCAGGGGAUUUUUCUUCAGGGAGCUCAUUCAUGGUUUGUUUAAUUUCUUUUUAUAAGAUAGGGUCAAGUGUUCUAAUUCCUCUUCUAUUAAUCUGGGCAAUUUAUAUAUUUCUAAAUAUUCACCCAUUUAAUUUAGAUUGUCAGAUUUAUUGGCAUAUAGUUGAGCAAGAUAGCUCCUAUUAAAUGCUUUAGUUUCAUUUUCUUUGGUUGUGAAUUUACCCUUUUCAUUUUUGAUACUGAUAAUUU
This is a non-coding RNA of Monodelphis domestica (gray short-tailed opossum), 4138 nucleotides long. The record is from RefSeq and is a predicted model, not a curated record. Lineage: Eukaryota; Metazoa; Chordata; Mammalia; Didelphimorphia; Didelphidae.